This 121-nucleotide ribosomal RNA is filed under the name Vibrio vulnificus. RNAcentral describes it as "partial 16S ribosomal RNA". It matches the Rfam family "Bacterial small subunit ribosomal RNA", at positions 1413 to 1533 of the family's 1533-position model. Lineage: Bacteria; Pseudomonadati; Pseudomonadota; Gammaproteobacteria; Vibrionales; Vibrionaceae. The record is from RNAcentral.
GGCUGCAAAAGAAGUGGGUAGUUUAACCUUCGGGAGGACGCUCACCACUUUGUGGUUCAUGACUGGGGUGAAGUCGUAACAAGGUAGCGCUAGGGGAACCUGGCGCUGGAUCACCUCCUUA